Molecule: ribosomal RNA, 253 nt
Filed under: uncultured bacterium
Lineage: Bacteria
Description: partial 16S ribosomal RNA
Rfam family: Bacterial small subunit ribosomal RNA
Source: RNAcentral
UACGGGGGGGGCAAGCGUUGUUCGGAAUUACUGGGCGUAAAGGGCUCGUAGGCGGCCAACUAAGUCGGAUGUGAAAUCCCCAAGCUUAACUUGGGAGCUGCAUCCGAUACUGGAUGGCUUGAAUCCGGGAGAGGGAUGCAGAAUUCCAGGUGUAGCGGUGAAAUGCGUAGAUAUCUGGAGGAAUACCGGUGGCGAAGGCGGCAUCCUGGACCGGCAUUGACGCUGAGGAGCGAAAGCUAGGGGAGCAAACGGG